RNAcentral lists this ribosomal RNA (468 nucleotides) under uncultured bacterium. RNAcentral describes it as "partial 16S ribosomal RNA". It matches the Rfam family "Bacterial small subunit ribosomal RNA", at positions 28 to 507 of the family's 1533-position model. The record is from RNAcentral.
GACGAACGCUGGCGGCGUGCUUAACACAUGCAAGUCGAACGGAAAGGCCCUGCUUUUGUGGGGUGCUCGAGUGGCGAACGGGUGAGUAACACGUGAGUAACCUGCCCUUGACUUUGGGAUAACUUCAGGAAACUGGGGCUAAUACCGGAUAGGAGCUCCUGCUGCAUGGUGGGGGUUGGAAAGUUUCGGCGGUUGGGGAUGGACUCGCGGCUUAUCAGCUUGUUGGUGGGGUAGUGGCUUACCAUGGCUUUGACGGGUAGCCGGCCUGAGAGGGUGACCGGCCACAUUGGGACUGAGAUACGGACCAGACUCCUACGGGAGGCAGCAGUGGGGAAUAUUGCACAAUGGGCGGAAGCCUGAUGCAGCAACGCCGCGUGCGGGAUGACGGCCUUCGGGUUGUAAACCGCUUUCGCCUGUGACGAAGCGUGAGUGACGGUAAUGGGUAAAGAAGCACCGGCUAACUACGUG